AGAAAAGAAAACUUUUCUCUGUGACUUUGCCACUUGUGCUUUUUUACUAGUGGUUAAAAUUCUGACUUUGAUAGACUCAUUAGUGUAUUAUUCUCCAUUUUCCUACCAUCCAAUAGCUACCUUUCUGGGUUUAUUAUGGUGGUGAAUCAGAUUCUUGUUUUAAUAUGGAGAGGACUAUGAAAUGGACUUUAAAUUUUCUUGUAAUUUUCUUCUUCGUUGAUAUAAAAAACAAUCAUGCUGCUCAUGUUGUUUCACGAGCAAAUUGCAUGGCCUUUUGUUGAUCAUGACCAGUGUUGGAUGGUUAAAUUUGGUUCUAUAAAUUUUGCAGGAAGAAGUUCAGUUUUUAAUGAAUCCUACAGUGAAUAGGCAUCCAAACUUGGUGAAACUGAUUGGUUAGUGCUGUGAAAAAGAAGUGAGAGAUGUGGUUUAUGACCUUAACCCAAAGGACACUUUGCAUAAUUUGACCCUAGCAGGUACAUAUUUCAAUUUUUUGAUAUUUUCAAUUUCAUAUUAUUGAAAUCUUUAUAAUUUCGAACCUUUAAUUUUUUUCUUCUCCUACUGCUUGUUAUGCUUUCGAUGCGCCACAUUGUGCAAUGGAUUUAUAUUGUUUUUAUUAUUGUGUUGUUUUAUCUUUUGACUGGUUGCUUCAAAAAGUUUGCAUUCUUGGAAUGUAUACCGAGUUGUGAGUUUUGAAAUGGAAGUUCAGCCAACAUAAAUAGUAUUUAGUAGAAAUUCAAUCUGUAUUUGGGGAUUGAGCUUUCAAUUCUUCUUUCUCCUAUUUGUUAUCCAAUUUAGUAAAACUACAUUUUUGAAAUUUUUGUUCUUGUUUUCAAAUUACUAUUAGGAUCGUGAUUUGUUAUGCUAGUAAGAAGGAAAAAAAUACUUUGAUCAAAUUGAGCCAAUUCUACACAAUUAAAUUGAAAGAUUUUUAGGGAAAACUUAAAACCAAAAAAGAUUUAGUGUUUGCGUGGAUUGACAUUAUUACAUUGCUUACAAUAAUAUUCUUUAUCUAUUUGGCAAGUCAACAUUGUCCUUCGGCCUCAUUUGAAGAUUGUACUUGACAUGCAUUAAAAAAAUGGAUGACCCAGGAGACGGUUGGGCCAUAGGCUUUGGCGGACAAGAAGAAGAAUAAGUAUUCAAAAUAUUGUCGUACAAGGCCAAAACAAUGUCGUUUGCAGUUGGUCUGACUUGUUGUGUUAUUCGGUUCAUGGAGGAUUCUCAGGAGGUUGAGUACUUAGGAAUUUUCGCCAUCAUGUUCAAGAAUAUUAACAAUAGGGUGAUAGAAGUCUAUAACCCUAUUGUUAAUAUUCCUGAUCAUGACGGUGGUAAUACCAAAGCGCUUGACCUUCUGCGAAUCCUCGAAGAACAGAAUAACAUUACAACUAUGAUAGUCUUAAACGACAUCGUUCCAGCCUUCGAAGUCAAAGAAAAACAACAAUUAUUGUGUAUUCCCAUUCAAUUUGUACUUCUUUGUCUCUCGUCUGCUAUGACAAUCUACAACUCCCUUCAUAAAGGAUAAGAAUUAUGCAACAGAAAGAACAGUUUAACAAUAAUUCUAUUUGCAUACUACAUAGAUCGAGUAUGAUACAAAAUUGUAUUCGAAUUUUGUUAAUGUUUCCAAUGUCUUUUUAUCAUGCAUCUCUUAAUAUGGAAUCAAUGAUAUGUCACCAUUAUAUAUUUUUUUGGU
Ziziphus jujuba (common jujube) is the source of this 1687-nucleotide long non-coding RNA. RefSeq lists it as uncharacterized. NCBI's taxonomy places the organism in Eukaryota, Viridiplantae, Streptophyta, Magnoliopsida, Rosales, Rhamnaceae. The record is from RefSeq and is a predicted model, not a curated record. The transcript has 2 exons.